This 308-nucleotide ribosomal RNA is filed under the name Escherichia coli. RNAcentral describes it as "bacterial SSU rRNA". It matches the Rfam family "Bacterial small subunit ribosomal RNA", at positions 108 to 419 of the family's 1533-position model. Lineage: Bacteria; Pseudomonadati; Pseudomonadota; Gammaproteobacteria; Enterobacterales; Enterobacteriaceae. The record is from RNAcentral.
GAGUAAUGUCUGGGAAACUGCCUGAUGGAGGGGGAUAACUACUGGAAACGGUAGCUAAUACCGCAUAACGUCGCAAGACCAAAGAGGGGGACCUUCGGGCCUCUUGCCAUCGGAUGUGCCCAGAUGGGAUUAGCUAGUAGGUGGGGUAACGGCUCACCUAGGCGACGAUCCCUAGCUGGUCUGAGAGGAUGACCAGCCACACUGGAACUGAGACACGGUCCAGACUCCUACGGGAGGCAGCAGUGGGGAAUAUUGCACAAUGGGCGCAAGCCUGAUGCAGCCAUGCCGCGUGUAUGAAGAAGGCCUUC